AUAAGAAAAGAUACAUGAGCUUUUCAGCUUCGACAUGUAAAGCUUGGAAGCUGUCUCUUCUACCGUCACAACAAGAAAAAACUGAACAAACUGAAAAAUCAAUGGCUUUUUUAGAUCCUUUGGAGAAUUGGGGUCACCGGACUAACCACCACCUCAAAAACAGGAGAGAUAAAUGAAUGCAGAGAAUAUAGAUCAACCUACCUGCAGCAAAAGCAUGAUGGGAACCCUUAAAUAAUAACUUUGAAAAUAGAAGCAUAUCAUUCUGUGAGGCCAUCAUUACCCUAAUACCAAAACCAGACAAACAUUACAAGACCAAUAUCUCAUGAACCAAAGAUAUAGUCAUACCUUGGAGAUAUUGCAGAUUCAGUUCCAGACCACUGCUAAUAAAGAAAAGAUCUCAAUAAAGUUACAGGAUAUCAGAGGGGUAGUGUGAUGCAACCCAAUGAGGAAUGGACAUCUCCAGUGACUGAGGUGGUGUGGAACUCUAUGUCCUCUGGGGAGA
This is a long non-coding RNA of Lagenorhynchus albirostris (white-beaked dolphin), 502 nucleotides long. RefSeq lists it as uncharacterized. The transcript is spliced from 3 exons. Lineage: Eukaryota; Metazoa; Chordata; Mammalia; Artiodactyla; Delphinidae. The record is from RefSeq and is a predicted model, not a curated record.